CAUCUAUGCACAUUUUCAUACACACCAACCCGUUAAUAUUUCUCGCCACGAAAGAGGAAAUUUCCCUUCUUUUUUUUCAUUUUGUGAACCCAUUUCACACCAUGGUCUCCGAGUUGAGCCAAUCGAAAAAUGUCUGCGUGAUCGGGGCAGGACCGUCAGGGCUAGUGGCGGCGAGAGAGCUGAGGAAAGAAGGUCAUAGGGUGGUGGUUUUGGAGCAAAAACACGAUGUUGGUGGACAAUGGUUGUAUGAACCAAAUGUAGAGAAAGAAGAUCGUUUAGGGAGGAACAAGUUCUUAGAAGUGCAUAGUAGUAUUUAUGCGUCUCUUAGAUUAGUAUCCCCUAGGGAGAUCAUGGGUUACACAGAUUUCCCAUUCAUGGUGAAGAAAGGUAGAGAUAUGAGGAGAUUUCCCGGCCAUAAGGAACUUUGGUUAUAUCUUAAGGAUUUUUGUGAUCACUUUGAUUUAAGGAAGAUGAUAAGGUUUAAUACUAGAGUAGAGUAUGUAGGAAUAUUGGAUUAUGGCGAGUUUAAAGAAGAUUUGAAAUGGGUUGUAAAGAGUAGAGAAGAAAACAAUGGAAAAAAAGAAGUGGAAGAGGUUUUUGAUGCGGUGGUUGUCGCUACUGGUCAUUACUCUCAUCCUAGGAUGCCUACCAUUAAAGGUCUCUGCAAAAAAAAAAAACACCUCUCUGUUUCAAUCUCCAAUUAUUCUGAUCAGCGGAAGAAAGAAAGUCACUUUAGACUGAAAAUGAAUAGAGAAUCUAUUCAUGAAUUUUCUUCACGCUAGCUAGCUCAAAAGUUACAGUCAAAUCAUCAAGAAAAAGAAGGAAAACGUUUAUGUAACUAAUUAGUCAUUGGCAGAAGUAGCACAUUUUUCUUUUCAGAUUCUUUGACGAUUUUCUCUUUUUCUUUUCUUGCUUUUAAUGUUAACAUCUGUUUCUGUUUUGGUCAAUAAUUUGGAUGUUAUCUGUAUGUUUAAUUCAUUCUUGAAGGGAUGGAUACAUGGAAGAGGAAGCAUAUGCACAGUCACAUUUACAGGGUUCCAGAGCCAUUUCGCAAUGAGGUAGUUGUGGUUGUGGGGAAUUCACUAAGUGGGCAAGAUAUAUCUAUGGAGCUGGUACAAGUAGCAAAGGACGUUCACCUCAGUGCCAAAUCCCUUGAGAUCACACCCGGUUUAUCCAAAGUCAUCUCCCAUCAUGAAAACUUGCAUCUUCGUCCACAGAUAGAAUUCCUUGAAGAAGAUGGGAGGGUGGUAUUUGCAGAUGGGUCUCAGGUCAUUGCCGACACCAUCUUAUACUGCACAGGGUAUACGUACACAUUCCCAUUUCUUGACACUAAAGGAAUGGUAAGUGUGGAAGAUGGUGGUAGAGUGGGACCUCUGUAUGAGCAUACCUUUCCUCCAUCACUUGCUCCCUCUCUGUCUUUUGUAGGCAUACCUAGAAAGAUCAUAGGGUUCCCUUUCUUUGAAUCACAAGCAAAAUGGAUAGCUCAACUGCUAUCUGGGAAAAGAAGACUUCCAUCAUGGGAUGACAUGAUGCUUGCCAUUAAGGAAUUUCAUCAAUCAAGGGAUGCUGCCGGUGUUCCUAAGCAUAAAACCCAUGACAUUGCAGAUUUUGAGUAUUGUGACAGAUAUGCAGAUCAUGUUGGAUUCCCACACUUGGAAGAAUGGAGGAAACAGCUCUGCUUAUCGGCCAUAGUAAAUGCUGAUGCCAACUUGGAGACAUACCGUGAUUCCUUGGAUGACCAUGACCUGCUUCAAGAGGCUUUUCAAAGUACUCAUUUCACUCCACUACUUGGGGUUCCAGAUUUCACUGUUUAGACUUAUUUUCUGUGUUUUGGUUAGACCACUCUUUUCAAUAUCUAUCCAUCCAUGAUUCAUUGUUUAAUGUGGAAGGGAAAAAAACUUGACUGUAAUUUAAAUCCAAAAAAAUAUAUAAUAUAAUUGAAACCACUUUGUCUCUGAACCUUCUAUCCAUUGUAUUCUCUCCAACUAGUUUCUUAGGGGAAAAAAUAUAUGAGUUGGUGAGUGGGGCUAGGGGAUUUCCUCAAAUAUUAAGAAAUAAUGAUUGAUUAUAACUCUAGCAUGAUCUUCACGUACAAAUGAUCACACAAAAUAUUUCAUGUACAAGCAUUUCCAUUGCUCACUAUAAAUUCAACCAGACGGGAGGAGCACGCUCGUUUUGUCCUUUUCCUCUACGAUGCCCACCAAAUUCCAAUUAUCAGUCAUAUACAACAUCUUCCAUGUAUAAGACCAUCUCAUGGUUCACUUGCUAUUAACUCGCCCCAAAAACCAUAAAAGCAAAGUGUUUAACUAUACUUGGUUCAAAAUUAGCCGAAGGUUACUAGCAGGACAUCUCUGCCCCCUGCGCCGUCUUGUUAUCUUCCCCCACCCUAUUAGGCUGCUCUCCUUGAUGCUGUGUUCGCCAUUUGUAGUUUGCUGCUUCGACAGUGCGCACAAUGAGGUUUCUGCCUUGACAGAAGAUACUGAAAACCUCCUCCUCCUCCCACUUGUCCACCCAUUUCUACCUGUUCUUCUGGCAUCUGUAUUUUGAUGAGCAGCUUCAAUUAGCCCCCCUAUUGCCUGAAGAUCCUCAGUUAUUUCAUACCUUGACAAAGAGGCAAGACUUGGGAGAAUUUCACUUUGAAAGUCCUUCCGCUGCUGCCCCCAUCUUCUUGUCCGGCCUCUUGGCAGAAUUGGCAAUGAAGGUGAAGACGCUGCUUCCUCUUUUAAGAUACUGGCCUUGCAACAAAACUGUUCUACCUUUGUCUCCUUAAGUUUCAAUGUCAUGGCCUCAAAGUAGUCAAUCCCAUCAGAAAGAUUCUCGUCAUGGUGAUCAGUGUUCUUAAAACUCAAAACCACACCAAAUUCACUCUCUGGAUCAUCUACUACAGAAGACGCUAUCUUGGAAAACCAAUAAAGAGGGUCAUUCUGUGAAGCCCCAGCCGGUUUGGAAGUCAUUAUCUCUGUGUAGGUUUGAACCUGAGAUGAUGACAUGGAAACUAUAGUCUCUGCUGCAACUGUAAUUAGAUCCUCUAGCAGAUCCCUACUUUCUUGUUUUGGAAGUUCACAGGGCAUCUCAAGUUGAUUUUCAUCUGAUUCUCCCCCAGGUGGAGAAGUCUCCUUGUUUUCUGGACUUGCAGGACCCUGAAAAUCUAUUUCUGUUGACAGAGUGGGCAUUGGUGAAGAAUCUUCAUCAUUUAUGCACGAGUUGAGGUCAACAUGAAAUCCAAAGCCUGAAGAUAUAUUAUCAUGUUUACUCCCAAAAACUGGGUCAUUUUUGGUUAGCUGUUCUCCUGAGUCAGGCAUAGAAUAAUCCAAGUGGAGUGAUUUAUUGGAAUUCACAAUAUGUGCUGGGUUUGUUCUAUGCAAAGCUAAGCCCCCUGUUGACUCUUUACAUUUCUCUUCACCGUCUGUUAUCCAAAUACCAUGGGCAGCCACAUCUGAAGAACAGCUAGGAGACAUGGAAUUCAGGUCUAUACCCCUUGUCAACUUUAGAUCCACAGAACCCUUAGUGUGCUUUUGAGUGUUACUAGCUUCAGAUGCAAACUCAUUGUCACCAUCACAAGAGCUGCUUUGAGCACUUAUACUACAAAAUGUUGGUCCGGAUUCAAGAUUUAUAACACUGCAAGACUUGCCUCCAGGAAUCUCGGGGCUUCUGAACUUAGAGCUUCUGCUCAACGGUACAGAGUUAAAACAUGGAAGUGCUUGAACUGCUAUAGGGGUCCUCACAAUGUCACGUGUAUGCUUUCUCCAAGAUGAAACCAAAGAUGAAUCAUGAUUCUUUACAUCAUCCAGAGGAAUAAGUUCACUUGAAGUAUGCUUGCAAGCAGUUGCAACCUUUUCAGGAUAGCUUUCUAAACCAAAAUCGCUCCUUUCUCUGUGCAAUUUUCCACUGUUUAAAUUCAAAAGAUAAGAAGUUGAAAUUUCAUGGGCUUGCUCAAUCUCAUCAUCUUCAGAUGAUGUGGACAGUGUUUCUGUACAAAUCCUUUCAGGGAAAGAAUUCAUGUCACUGCUAUGGUCUAGGACAGGACCUAGAAAAUCAUUGGAUUCAGGAUCUACUUCUUCCUCAAGCUUGAUGGGUUCAUUCAAAUCAGCUAGGCAUUUGGUUUUCCUAGAAAAUGGAGCUUGAGCCAUACUAUCAUCUUGGAAAACCAAAUUACCAUCACUAAUGCCUCGAAAUAGUUCUACAUAACUCUUUUGCACAUCCUCAACCAUGCUUUUCAUAGGAUAACCUGACACCUCAGGAGGAGCUGUCUCACUAGCUAAAGAUUCCUCUUCUUCACUAUCAAUGUACUCAUCAGCUGGAAGUUCCAGAUCCAAUAUCCUUUUACCAACUUUCUUGCAUUUAGACUCCAACAACCCGGUUUCUUUUCUAGAGCCUUCAGUUUGAAAAGUACUGCAACCAUCUUGUAUGAUCUUUCCUUCAACAUAAUUUAAAUGCAAUUGGCUGUUUUCAGUACCUGAAAUGGAAGACUGAAUAAAAGCAGGAUUCAGCCAGGGCAAGGAAGAAGCUUUGUGGGUCCUUUGGAAACACUCAAAUGAGUUUUCAGAGAAGAUUUGAUUCGACUGUGGGGUUUCUAGCCGUAGAUGACGUCCAUGAAGCUCAACCCUUUUCAUUUCAGCCAUUAAUUCUCUCUGUCUGUUGUAAAGGCGAUGGAGUUCAUGGAUCUGAUCCCUAAAUAUAGCUUCAUGCCGGAGCAUUGUUUGCUUCACUUUUUCCUUGUAUGUCAAAUAGUGGUCGGGAAAUGGUGAUGCCAAGUUCCCAUUGAAGUAGUGUCCAUUCUUUGAGAUUUUAUCAACAUUAUUUGAGGGCCAGCUACUACAACUAGCAUUUAAAUUAAGAUCCCUAGUGGAACAAUACCCUGGGAAGUAAUGGCACUGCAUAUCUGCUUGCAUUCCUAGCAUUGCCAUGAAACUUGGAGUAUAAAUCUCAAUUUAUCUCAGAGAAAGCUAUAAUGGACCAUCUUCGUACCAUUACUCCAUUAGGAGAGAAUUCUUGAUAAUUAAAAAGAAAACCAAUCCAUUCUUCAAAACCCACCAAGGAAUCACUCGUUAAAAGAGCUCACAGCACUAAAAGCCAACAAAAGAAAGCAAAAUAUCAAAGUGGGCGUGUUUAGAAAAAGCUGAUAGAUCAGAAAACAGAAGAGUUAGUGACCUCAAAAGAGCCAAACCACAAAGUAGUCAUUUUGGAAACACCAAGAAAAGUAGAAGAAAUGAGGAUUUUGGAUCUGCUGGGCCAUUCUCUCAAGAAAGAUUUAGAGAGAGAGAAAACCCCAUAAAAAGAAAUCCACACAGAAACAAACGAAACUUACAUGAGAAGAGACAUGAAAGUUGUCAACAUUAUUUUCUCUCUCAUUUCUUGUUGUUUUGCGUGAGAGAAAAUAAUGGGAAAUGGGCAUGUUUUAAAGAAAGAAACUCCAGAUUCUGUCCAUAAAUAAAAUUUUUCUUGAGAAUUUUCAA
RNAcentral lists this unclassified non-coding RNA (5456 nucleotides) under Hevea brasiliensis (rubber tree). Lineage: Eukaryota; Viridiplantae; Streptophyta; Magnoliopsida; Malpighiales; Euphorbiaceae. The record is from RNAcentral.